Molecule: ribosomal RNA, 501 nt
Filed under: Carnobacteriaceae bacterium CL2.8
Lineage: Bacteria; Bacillati; Bacillota; Bacilli; Lactobacillales; Carnobacteriaceae
Description: bacterial SSU rRNA
Rfam family: Bacterial small subunit ribosomal RNA
Source: RNAcentral
CCCUGGCUCAGGACGAACGCUGGCGGCGUGCCUAAUACAUGCAAGUCGAACGCACGAAGUUGAAGAGCUUGCUCUUUAACCCAACUGAGUGGCGGACGGGUGAGUAACACGUGGGUAACCUGCCCAUUAGAGGGGGAUAACAUUCGGAAACGGAUGCUAAUACCGCAUAGUUUCAGGAAUCGCAUGAUUCUUGAAGGAAAGGUGGCUUCGGCUACCACUAAUGGAUGGACCCGCGGCGUAUUAGCUAGUUGGUGAGGUAAUGGCUCACCAAGGCAAUGAUACGUAGCCGACCUGAGAGGGUGAUCGGCCACACUGGGACUGAGACACGGCCCAGACUCCUACGGGAGGCAGCAGUAGGGAAUCUUCCGCAAUGGACGAAAGUCUGACGGAGCAACGCCGCGUGAGUGAAGAAGGUUUUCGGAUCGUAAAACUCUGUUGUUAAAGAAGAACAAGGAUGAGAGUAACUGCUCAUCCCCUGACGGUAUUAACCAGAAAGCCACG